CUCCUUUCUUCUUCUCAUCAGAGAUGUUAAAAAGUGAAUGUGACACCUACUCCUCCACAGCUCUGGCUAUUCAAGCACCUUUCUUAUAGUGAUGAAGGGAGUACAUCAUCAGGGCAAGGUGUAUGUGGAUGGUGUUGAACUUCUGCUGUGUUUUACUGUGAUUUAGCGUCAGCACAUACAGCACUGGAAAUACUACUGCUUGUGGCACACAGCCCUGCCCUCUGCUUUUCCUUUCUCCAGUAAGGACUUGCUGCUCCUCCUGCUGUUCAGCCAUCACCCGUUGAAUUCUAAGCCAAGCAACCUCAAAGGGUUAAUUGUCUUACUUCACUAUUCAAAAAAUACCAUGGCUGUUAAGCACGUAACUCAUGGGUUCUACCAACUCUUCUGCAAAAAUACAAGCAGGUAAACCACCAGAAAGCAGCUUUGUACCACUGAAAAGAAGCUUCACCCAGACCCUCCUGCUGCCUCUGACCCUUCAGUGCCAGUGGAGCCAGCUCCAUGUCCUCCAUCGUCCACAGCCCGCCCACCACCACCUCCUCCAGGGAUUUCUCUGCAGGACUUCUAAAUCAACAGAGGACUGCAAAGCCUUGGAGAGAGGGUUCUCAUCUUUCCCUUUACUGAGUGCUAUGCUAUACCCUGGCCAGGCCAUGCUCUGCGAAGCCCCUGGACAAGCUCUUCCCAGCAGGAGCAGCACCAAGUGCAGAUAGAAAACACUUCUGAAGUCGUGCAUCCCAUCUGAUGUUUAAAUGCAAAGAACCUAGGAAGGAUAGUCCUGGAUUACUGCUGCUUACAAGGAAGUGUACUUCUACGGAGGUCCAAAAGCCCUUCUGUACUCGGAAGCUGGGAUGGUUUGGCUUUGCUCUCCUUUAGCACUGAUGCAGCUUCAUUACCACCCAACAGGAAGUGAUGGUUACACUGCUGUCAAACUGGUGGAAAUAACAGGAUUAUCUUUGACUAACCAUGGGGUUUCCCACCUCAGGAACUGGAACAUCCUGAAAUCAUUCUGCUCCCAGACACGUCUUCUUUUUUUCCGUUUAGAUUAAAUAAUAUAUUUAGGGCCUCUGAAUGGCCUUAUGGUCUUCUGAGUGUGAAGCCUGCAAAAACAAGUGGGAAGGAAAAAGGCAGGUGGAGGAAAGGCUCAGCGAGAAGGCAAAGCCCUACCAGCCAAACCCAACUUCUCUUCAACUUACGCAAAGGUAUUUGUCCAUCAAGAGAAAGGUGGGACCCUGGAAAGUCAUUCUAACCAACAUUUUGAAAGUCUAUAAAUUCUGGAGGGACCAGGAAGAGUGCAAACAUUUUGUAAUUAGGGGCAAAACCCUGAGUGCUCCUACAAGUGCACUACAAGAGCACUACAAGUACUGAUAGUGAAGCCUCACUUCACUAUCAGUCCUUGGGGCUCCCUGCCUCUCCCAGCCCCCCCAGCCCAUGUGUGGGAUGCAUUGUGGCUCCCCCAUCUUCUCAACAUAUUUUGCUAUACUGAGCCUUUGUUAAUAUCACUUUUUGUUGACGUAUCUGUAUGGAAAACAGAAAAAUCCACUUUGUUGGAUUUGCUUUUGGUCUGAUUCCCUAAAUUCUACAAGGUGUUACAAAAUCCUGAACAUCUUUCAUUUCAGGUUAAUUGAAGUAACUGAUACAAUAGAACGCAAUUUAUUCUCUUUCAAAUGGAACGGUGGAAAACAGGCAUUAUUUUAUGUCCGCCCUCAGUUUGUCUCAGGAAUAUUUUUGCCAAUGGUAUGAGUUGGUUUACGUUCAAAUUUUUCAAUUAUUCUUUUACUUCUUUUUAAAAUGGUCACUUCUCUGGUGUGCAGAUCAAACAUUAAUGAAGUUUGAAAGGUCUUUUUUUUGAGCAACAUAAAACUUAAUAAAAUAAUUUUGCAUUUUACAGCUUUGGUGAGGAAAAGGUGUUAAUUAAGAGUACCAUGGCAAGAAAACUGCUUUCUGGCUCUGCUUACAAACUGGCUUAUUCUUGUAAAUAAUCAGUCCCACCUAAU
Molecule: long non-coding RNA, 1991 nt
Organism: Gallus gallus (chicken)
Lineage: Eukaryota; Metazoa; Chordata; Aves; Galliformes; Phasianidae
Source: Ensembl